UUCCGGUUGAUNCCUGCCGGAGGCUACUGCUAUUGGAAUUUCGACUAANGCCAUGCGAGUCAAGGUGUCUUCGGAACGCCGGCAAACGGCUCAGUAACACGUAGGUAAUCUACCCUCAGGACUGAGAUAACCCCGGGAAACUGGGGCUAAUACCAGAUAGAUAAAAGAUACUGGAAUGUUCUUUUAUCCAAAGCUUUUGUGCCUGAGGAUGAGCCUGCGCCCGAUUAGGUAGUUGGUGGGGUAAUGGCCCACCAAGCCUGCGAUCGGUACGGGCAGUGGGAGCUGUAGCCCGGAGUUGGGGACUGAGACAAGGCCCCAGGCCCUACGGGGCGCAGCAGGCGCGAAACCUCUGCAAUGCGGGAAACCGUGACAGGGGGAUUCCAAGUGCUCAUGCAUUGCAUGGGCUGUUCUUUGGUCUAAGUAACCAGAGGAGUAAGGGCUGGGCAAGACCGGUGCCAGCCGCCGCGGUAAUACCGGCAGCUCGAGUGGUAGCCGCGAUUAUUGGGCCUAAAACGUUCGUAGCCGGAUAAGUAAGUCUUUGGUUAAAUCCUACGACUCAACCGUGGGAAAUCUAGAGAUACUGCUUGUCUUGAGACCGGGAGAGGUUGGAGGUACUCCCAGGGUAGGGGUGAAAUCCUGUAAUCCUGGGGGGACCACCUGUGGCGAAGGCGUCCAACUGGAACGGCUCUGACGGUGAGGGACGAAACCUAGGGGAGCGAGCCGGAUUAGAUACCCGGGUAGUCCUAGGCGUAAAUGAUGCGAGUUAAGUGUGGGGGCAUCUACGAGAUGGCCCUGUGCUGUAGGGUAGCCGUUAAACUCGCUGCCUGGGGAGUACGGUCGCAAGGCUGAAACUUUAAAGGAAUUGGCGGGGGAGCACCACAAGAGGUGGAGGCUGCGGGUUCAAUUGGAUUCAACGCCGGG
This 921-nucleotide ribosomal RNA is filed under the name archaeon enrichment culture clone C4-9C-A. RNAcentral describes it as "bacterial SSU rRNA". It matches the Rfam family "Archaeal small subunit ribosomal RNA", at positions 1 to 922 of the family's 1478-position model. The record is from RNAcentral.